Molecule: transfer RNA, 76 nt
Filed under: Laurus azorica
Lineage: Eukaryota; Viridiplantae; Streptophyta; Magnoliopsida; Laurales; Lauraceae
Description: tRNA-Val
Source: RNAcentral
AGAAAUCUCAUUCAGUUAGGUAUGGUAGAUUAAGAUGGAAUCCGACUAGUUCCGGGUUCGAGUCCCGGGCAACCCA